RNAcentral lists this ribosomal RNA (1156 nucleotides) under Filifactor alocis. RNAcentral's name for it is "bacterial SSU rRNA". It matches the Rfam family "Bacterial small subunit ribosomal RNA", at positions 28 to 1185 of the family's 1533-position model. The record is from RNAcentral. Lineage: Bacteria; Bacillati; Bacillota; Clostridia; Peptostreptococcales; Filifactoraceae.
GAUGAACGCUGGCGGCGUGCUUAACACAUGCAAGUCGAACGAACGACUAUUAACAGAACCUUUCGGGGCGAAGAAUAUAGAAGUUAGUGGCGGACGGGUGCGUAACGCGUGGGUAAUCUGCCUUUGUCAAAGGAAUAACUAUUCGAAAGAAUAGCUAAAACCGUAUAACAUAUUAAUAGGGCAUCCUAAUAAUAUCAAAACGAUAGUGGACAAAGAUGAGCCCGCGUCUGAUUAGCUAGUUGGUGAGAUAAAAGCCCACCAAGGCAACGAUCAGUAGCCGACCUGAGAGGGUGAACGGCCACAUUGGAACUGAGACACGGUCCAAACUCCUACGGGAGGCAGCAGUGGGGAAUAUUGCACAAUGGGGGGAACCCUGGUGCAGCAACGCCGCGUGAGUGAAGAAGGCAUUCGUGUCGUAAAACUCUGUAGUAGGGGAAGAAAGAAAUGACAGUACCCUAAAAGAAAGCCCCGGCUAACUACGUGCCAGCAGCCGCGGUAAUACGUAGGGGGCAAGCGUUAUCCGGAAUAACUGGGCGUAAAGGGUGCGCAGGUGGUUUAACAAGUUAGUGGUGAAAGGCAUAGGCUCAACCAAUGUAAGCCAUUAAAACUGUUUAACUUGAGUGCAGGAGAGGAAAGUGGAAUUCCUAGUGUAGCGGUGAAAUGCGUAGAUAUUAGGAGGAAUACCAGUGGCGAAGGCGACUUUCUGGACUGCAACUGACACUGAGGCACGAAAGCGUGGGGAGCAAACAGGAUUAGAUACCCUGGUAGUCCACGCCGUAAACGAUGAGUACUAGGUGUCGGGUGAAGAACUCGGUGCCGAAGUUAACACAUUAAGUACUCCGCCUGGGGAGUACGCUCGCAAGAGUAAAACUCAAAGGAAUUGACGGGGACCCGCACAAGCAGCGGAGCAUGUGGUUUAAUUCGAAGCAACGCGAAGAACCUUACCUAAACUUGACAUACCAAUGACAGCCUUUUAAUCGAGGACUUUUACCUUCGGGUAGACAAUGGAUACAGGUGGUGCAUGGUUGUCGUCAGCUCGUGUCGUGAGAUGUUGGGGUUAAGUCCGCAACGAGCGCCACCCCUGUUCGAUAGUUACAGCAGUAAGAUGGGGACUCUAUCGAGACAGCUAGGACACUUAGAGGAGGGUGGGAUACGU